UACGGAGGGGACAAGCGUUGUUCGGAUUUACUGGGCGUAAAGGGCGCGUAGGCGGGCCUUCAAGUCGGCUGUGAAAUCUCUGGGCUUAACCCAGAGUCUGCACUCGAUACUGUAGGUCUUGAGUACCGGAGAGGAUGAUAGAAUUCCAGGUGUAGCGGUGAAAUGCGUAGAUAUCUGGAAGAAUACCAGUAGCGAAGGCGGUCAUCUGGACGGAUACUGACGCUAAAGCGCGAAGGCUUGGGGAGCAAACAGG
RNAcentral lists this ribosomal RNA (253 nucleotides) under uncultured bacterium. RNAcentral describes it as "partial 16S ribosomal RNA". It matches the Rfam family "Bacterial small subunit ribosomal RNA", at positions 524 to 776 of the family's 1533-position model. The record is from RNAcentral.